This 2915-nucleotide unclassified non-coding RNA is filed under the name Leishmania donovani. Its description in RNAcentral is "gene:LdHU3.30.0570(CDS-product:Alpha/beta_hydrola se_family/X-Pro_dipeptidyl-peptidase_(S15_family)_putative)". The record is from RNAcentral. Lineage: Eukaryota; Euglenozoa; Kinetoplastea; Trypanosomatida; Trypanosomatidae.
GGUCGCGCUGCUCUGUGCUUUCGCUCUCUUCUGCGGGUGCCUCUAGCCGGUUUUUCCUUCAUUGUGGCGCUGGACAGCUGCAGUCGAUCGCGUGCACCCACCUUGCGUGCCUGCUGGCGUGUGUAGCUUCGCAUGGCAACAACGCCUACAACCAAGAACACCACCUGUGCAGUUGCAACCGUGCCGCGACUCAUCUUGGGUGAUUGCUUUUUUUGUUCCCGCUUCUGUGUCACGACCCGCUCGCGUCCGUUGCACGCAUACACGCACACGUGCCGCCGCCUCCACAUUCUCUCACUCCUCGCGAACUCCCCGCCUUACGCGCAUUUCUGCGGUUGUGCGCAUCUCUUACAUCUCUUCUCGCCCUCUCUCUGUCUCCGCCUUCCGCGUGUUGUUCCACUAGCUUCGCACUUUUCUCACCCUCCCAGGCAAUGAUCAGCGCCAGGGACGCCAUUCUCCAGCUGACCUCAGGCCCGAGCUUGAUGGACAGCAUGUGCAACUUUAUUAUUCGCCCGCCUCGGUCCACCUACGAGGUUGACGAUCUUGGGCCUAACGUGUUCCGCAUCGGCGACGAUGGCACGGAGCGCUUCGUGCGCCACGACUUUGAGCUGGAAAACAUGCGGGGUUUGCGCUUCCAGUGCUCGUGGUUCAAGACCUAUCCUGCCCGCCGUGUGCCGUGCGUGGUGUACUGCCACGCGAAUUGCGGCGGGCGCUACGACGGCCUCGAGGCUCUCUUUCUGCUGCGGGAAGGCUUCAGCCUCUUCUGCUUCGACUUCUGCGGGAGCGGGAUGUCGGAGGGUGAGUACAUCUCCCUAGGCUUCUACGAACGCCAGGACCUGGUCGCCGUCGUCGAGUUUCUCACGCUCAAGAGUGACGAGGUGGACGGAGUGGCGCUGUGGGGCCGCAGCAUGGGCGCCGUAGCCGCCAUCAUGUACGCCUCGAAGGAUCCGUGGAUUCGUUGUAUUGUUUGCGAUUCGCCAUUCGCAUCCCUGCGGUUGCUCAUCGACGAUUUGGUGGAGCGACAUGGCGGGCGAACGGCCCGGGUUCUGCCGAAGAUUUUGGUGCACGGGAUUGUGGAGCGCAUCCGUAAGCGCAUCAUGAAGCGAGCCGCUUUCGACAUUGACGACUUGGACGCGGUCAAGUACGCCAAGGCGUGCGGCGUUCCCGCACUGCUGUUCCACGGCGCCGACGACGACUUUGUGUCCCCGACGCACUGUGAGAUGAUUCGUGACGCCUUCCCCAUUCCGUGCCUGCAGCAGUUCACGCCAGGCGGGCACAACUGCGAACGCCAAGAGGACAUUCACGUACUCAUCAGGGCCUUUUUGCGGCUCUACCUGAUCGACAAGCCACAAGGAGCACGAGAGAUACAGGCAGCGCGUGAGCUCCAGCUGGCCAAUACUGCAUCACCCGCCGCCGUCGCGGCGGCGGCAGCAAACAAGGGGGCCAUCUCGCGGCUGAGUGCGCCUGCUGCUCCAGCUCCGAAGCAGCUCGUACCUCCGGCAAGCUAUGGUAUGAGGUGCGCUGGGACGGCACUAAUCUCUUCUUCCUCCACGUCGGCGACUGCGUCUUCCUCCACCACCUCUCCGUCCACAUCCGCGUCAUCAUCGACAUCGUUCGACUCUUCCCUGCCUUUGCCAGCUGCACUAAGUGUGCCGCUGUCGCCAGAGAACAGGUUGGUCUACGACUGCUCCAACUCACGAGAUUCCACUCCGCCACCAAAGGCAGCGGCGACGCUGGCCAGCUCACUCCCACCGUCUCUCACGCCUUUCCGCUCGUCCAGUGGAACACGAGCGCACGUCAGCGCUUCCACGGCGACAGUGGCAGGUGAGGGGCACGCGACCAGCGGAGCUACCGUACCGCCGCCCAGCUCUCCGGCCGCAGAUUCCACUGACGGCUUGCAGAACUGCACUGCAAGCCCGUAGCGAUGGUUGAUCCCUUGUGGCGCGACUCUCGAAGGGUGCUAUGUGCGGGUUAUUGGUGGGCGUCGCUGCACGUGAAGGCGAGGGGCGGGGAGAAGGAUGUAUAAGGCUGCUUUUCUGCACACCCAGACUAAGGAGUGUCUGUGUGUGUGUGGGAGGGGAGACGGCGUGCGGCGUUGACAGACGAGAAGUGUGCACAGUGACGAACAGGCGAGGUAAUGGACGGCCUCCGAAAGAAGGCUCGGGUAGGGACAAUGAGGAGGCUGCGGGCAACACGAGGAAGGCUUUGCUUCAGCGCAUAGCAGUCUCGUCUUCGCUCCCUCCUCUUCGCGGCAUUGCUGAGGAGGCGUACAGCUCCUCCGCGUCCCCACCACGCCACCCCGUUUUCACUGUGCCCUCGCUGCCUCUCUCUCAGCUCCGCUUCAGUGUGCUGAUGGCGCUCACUUGCUUUGCCGAAGCAGCCUGAUUUCUUCUGCUUACGUUGUGCGCGCCGUGUACGCUCAUGUGUGCUGCUGUUGAGAGGGCACUGCUCGCUCGCUUUCUGCAUCCCCUAACACACCCUCCUUCGGCUCCGCGUUCUUUUCUCGGUGGCUGCUCACCCUCUUUUCCCAGGAGGGGGCCAGAUGUCUGCUACGCGCCUCUCGAGCGCUGCCUUCUUCCCCCUUUUCCACUUCUCUUGCCCUGCAUCACCAUCGUCGUUGUCAUCGCUGCGGACUGCGUGCAUGCAGGUGAGGCCGCGUGCGAUAGCGCUCUGGUGUGUAUGCAUCUGUGCAUAUAUGUUGUGCGUCGAGGGAGGGAGGGAGGGGGACGGUGUUGGGGGGAACCACGUUCGCUCAACGCCGGGUCCUCCUUCUCCUCCCUAGAGUGUUCCUGCUCGGAUGUUGCUCCUUUGAGAAAGCGGAUUUUCGCACGCAUCGGCGCGUACAUAGAGAACGCAACGCACCUACUGCGCGGCGGGGGGACAGAUCUAGGUGGGAAAGUGUGUGUGUGGGGGGGAGU